Long non-coding RNA from Esox lucius (northern pike), 835 nucleotides. RefSeq lists it as uncharacterized. The transcript is spliced from 3 exons. The record is from RefSeq and is a predicted model, not a curated record. NCBI's taxonomy places the organism in Eukaryota, Metazoa, Chordata, Actinopteri, Esociformes, Esocidae.
GCAAAAAAACAAAAAAAAAGGGACGAUAAUAUUUGAAGAGAAUCAUCUGUAAUCGGUUUCGCUGGAAGGUGACAGCCACCCUCUUCCUGUCCGAAUAACUAUCUUCCGAAAGAAAACACACUCGCCCCCUUCCUCAGUCCCACUCCUCCCAUGAUAUCCUCCUUACUCCCCCAGCUGCUUUGGUGCCAGUUUGGACAACCCUGGUCUGAAUCAAGCCCCCCCAGCGAGCAUUACAGGACUCAAUAGGUUGGCUGCAUGAUGUCUCUCACUUCCUCAGACGAAGAAAGAACUAAGGGAGCUAUUAGCCUAAGGGGCCGGGCCCUGUGCCAGACGAGCCCUAGACAAACCACACCUCUCUCUGGUGUUACAGUAACGGGAUGCUAGGGCUAUGGGACAGCCGCAGGCAGACCUGACCCUUGGAUGUCUUCCAUCCUGGAGCCGUAUAAACAGGAGCGUGGUGCCCCCGGGACUGGAGUGGUAAUGCCAAAGGUCUUACCACAUAAAUCAACAGGAAGGGUUCGGGAUAACUCGAUCAGGGAGGGUACUCCCUCAGGGAUGUCAUCUACGUUUGUCUGUGAAUUAGCCAAUCAUCAGUUCCUUCAGGUCGACUCCCAUCCUGCCCGGGUGCCCCAUUGAAAGCAUCCUCUCAGGUUUCAUUACUGCCUGGCACGGCAACUGCUCCACUGCAGACUGCAAGACCCUUCAGAUGGUGGUAAAGUCUGUGGAGUACACCAUCGGCUGCCAUCUCCCCUCUGUGCAAGCAUCAACCAGACUACAGACUACAGCCACCCAGGCUGAAUACACCCCUCACAUUUUUGCAAAUAUUUGAUUAUAU